AUACGGAGGGAGCAAGCGUUAUUCGGAAUCACUGGGCGUAAAGGACGCGUAGGCGGGUUUGUAAGUCAGGUGUGAAAUCUUACAGCUCAACUGUAGAACUGCACUUGAAACUACAGACCUAGAGUAUGGAAGGGGCAGAUGGAAUUAGCGGUGUAGGGGUAAAAUCCGUAGAUAUCACUAGGAAUACCGAAAGCGAAGGCGAUCUGCUGGGACAUUACUGACGCUGAGGCGUGAAAGCGUGGGGAGCAAACAGGAUUAGAAACCCCGGUAGUCC
This 274-nucleotide ribosomal RNA is filed under the name uncultured bacterium. Its description in RNAcentral is "partial 16S ribosomal RNA". It matches the Rfam family "Bacterial small subunit ribosomal RNA", at positions 523 to 796 of the family's 1533-position model. The record is from RNAcentral.